This 553-nucleotide ribosomal RNA is filed under the name Fusarium culmorum. RNAcentral's name for it is "eukaryotic LSU rRNA". The stretch from base 197 to 350 matches the Rfam family "5.8S ribosomal RNA". The record is from RNAcentral. Lineage: Eukaryota; Fungi; Ascomycota; Sordariomycetes; Hypocreales; Nectriaceae.
AAAAGUCGUAACAAGGUCUCCGUUGGUGAACCAGCGGAGGGAUCAUUACCGAGUUUACAACUCCCAAACCCCUGUGAACAUACCUUAUGUUGCCUCGGCGGAUCAGCCCGCGCCCCGUAAAAAGGGACGGCCCGCCGCAGGAACCUUAAACUCUGUUUUUAGUGGAACUUCUGAGUAUAAAAAACAAAUAAAUCAAAACUUUCAACAACGGAUCUCUUGGUUCUGGCAUCGAUGAAGAACGCAGCAAAAUGCGAUAAGUAAUGUGAAUUGCAGAAUUCAGUGAAUCAUCGAAUCUUUGAACGCACAUUGCGCCCGCCAGUAUUCUGGCGGGCAUGCCUGUUCGAGCGUCAUUUCAACCCUCAAGCCCAGCUUGGUGUUGGGAGCUGCAGUCCUGCUGCACUCCCCAAAUACAUUGGCGGUCACGUCGAGCUUCCAUAGCGUAGUAAUUUACAUAUCGUUACUGGUAAUCGUCGCGGCCACGCCGUUAAACCCCAACUUCUGAAUGUUGACCUCGGAUCAGGUAGGAAUACCCGCUGAACUUAAGCAUAUCAAU